Molecule: ribosomal RNA, 460 nt
Filed under: uncultured bacterium
Lineage: Bacteria
Description: partial 16S ribosomal RNA
Rfam family: Bacterial small subunit ribosomal RNA
Source: RNAcentral
CCUACGGGAGGCAGCAGUGAGGAAUAUUGGUCAAUGGACGAGAGUCUGAACCAGCCAAGUAGCGUGAAGGAUGACUGCCCUAUGGGUUGUAAACAUCUUUUAUAAAGGAAUAAAACGAGGCACGUGUGCCUUUUUGCAUGUACUUUAUGAAUAAGGAUAGGAUAAAGCCGGUCCAACAGCCGCGGUAAUACGGGGGAUCCGAGCGUUUACCGGAUUUGUUGGGUUUAAAGGGAGCGUAGAUGGGUUGUUAAGUCAGUUGUGAAAGUUUGCGGCUCAACCGGAAAAUUGCAAUUGAUACUGGCAGUCUUGAGUACAGGUGAGGUAUGCGGAAUUCGUGGUGUAGCGGUGAAAUGCUUAGAUAUCACGAAGAACCCCGAUUGCGAAGGCAGCUUACUAAACUGUGACUGACAUUGAUGCUCGAAAGUGUGGGUAUCAAACAGGAUUAGAUACCCCAGUAGUC